This 492-nucleotide ribosomal RNA is filed under the name uncultured bacterium. Its description in RNAcentral is "partial 16S ribosomal RNA". It matches the Rfam family "Bacterial small subunit ribosomal RNA", at positions 28 to 507 of the family's 1533-position model. The record is from RNAcentral.
GGUGAACGCUGGCGGCAUGCCUAAUACAUGCAAGUCGAACGGCAGCACAGUAAGAUCUUGCCUUUAAGGGUGGCGAGGGGCGGACGGGUGAGGCAUAGAUCGGAAUCUAAUUUUUCGUGGAGGAUAACGUAGGGCAACAUAUACUAAUACCGCAUACGUCCUACGGGAGAAAGCAGUGGUUCAUCGCACUUUUGGCGACUCAAUGAGCCGAUGUCGGAUUAGCUAGUUGGCGAGGUAAGGGCCCACCAAGGCAACGAUACGUAGCUGGUCUGAGAGGAUGAUCAGCCACACUGGAACUGAGACACGGUCCAGACUCCUACGGGAGGCAGCAGUAGGGAAUCUUGGACAAUGGGCGCAAGCCUGAUCCAGCCAUACCGCGUGAGUGAAGAAGGUCUUCGGGUUGUAAAACUCUGUUAUUAGGGAAGAAAAGCAGUGGGUUAAAACACGGCCGUUUUGACGGUACCUAAAGAGCAAGCACCGGCUAACUUCGUG